This is a long non-coding RNA of Gallus gallus (chicken), 286 nucleotides long. Lineage: Eukaryota; Metazoa; Chordata; Aves; Galliformes; Phasianidae. The record is from Ensembl.
CAGCUGGCACCAGCAGCAGACAGGGAAUGCAGUGGGAGAGAAUUCCCCGUGCCUCAGCAGCUCUGGAGCAAGGGCAAUGAGAAAUCUCAAUAGGAAGCCUGCACAGCAAAGAUUUCUUCAUCCUUUUUUGAAGGCACAGUGUGACCAAAGAACACAGAUAAGGCUCCAAAAGUCCUUUGGGGUCCUGAUUUUCCAGUGAAAACAGUAGAAAAAUCCUACUCUGUUCACUGGGGGAAGGUAGAAAGAAUUCAGCUUCUGGAAGGAUAUUCUGUGCAGCAGAGACAGC